This 252-nucleotide ribosomal RNA is filed under the name uncultured bacterium. Its description in RNAcentral is "partial 16S ribosomal RNA". It matches the Rfam family "Bacterial small subunit ribosomal RNA", at positions 524 to 776 of the family's 1533-position model. The record is from RNAcentral.
UACGUAGGUCCCGAGCGUUGUCCGGAUUUAUUGGGCGUAAAGCGAGCGCAGGUGGUUUAUUAAGUCUGGUGUAAAAGGCAGUGGCUCAACCAUUGUAUGCAUUGGAAACUGGUAGACUUGAGUGCAGGAGAGGAGAGUGGAAUUCCAUGUGUAGCGGUGAAAUGCGUAGAUAUAUGGAGGAACACCGGUGGCGAAAGCGGCUCUCUGGCCUGUAGCUGACACUGAGGCUCGAAAGCGUGGGGAGCAAACAGG